ACUCAAAUGAAUUGACGGGGGCCCGCACAAGCGGUGGAGCAUGUGGAUUAAUUCGUCACUAACCGAAGAACCUUACCCAGGUUUGACAUCUGACGCACCGGUGUGAAAGCACCGUUCCUUCGGGACGUCAAGACAGGUGUUGCAUGGCUGUCGUCAGCUCGUGUCGUGAGAUGUUGGGUUAAGUCCCGCAACGAGCGCAACCCUCACCGUAUGUUGGCAGCGUAAAGUCGGCAACUCUUACGGAACUGCCCGUGCAAGCGGGAGGAAGGUGGGGACGACGUCAAGUCGGCAUGGCCCUUACGCCUGGGGCUUCACACAUGCUACAAUGGCUUCUACAAAGGGUAGCGAACUCGUGAGGGUGAGCGAAUCUCAAAAAGGGAGCCUCAGUUCGGAUUGUAGGCUGCAACUCGCCUACAUGAAGCUGGAAUCGCUAGUAACCGCCGGUCAGCUAAACGGCGGUGAAUACGUUCCCGGGCCUUGUACACACCGCCCGU
This 494-nucleotide ribosomal RNA is filed under the name uncultured bacterium. Its description in RNAcentral is "partial 16S ribosomal RNA". It matches the Rfam family "Bacterial small subunit ribosomal RNA", at positions 899 to 1397 of the family's 1533-position model. The record is from RNAcentral.